This 1167-nucleotide long non-coding RNA is filed under the name Olea europaea (common olive). Its description in RNAcentral is "long non-coding RNA (OEUR_LNC009168)". Lineage: Eukaryota; Viridiplantae; Streptophyta; Magnoliopsida; Lamiales; Oleaceae. The record is from RNAcentral.
GGGGGGUCGUCUCUCAGUAUCUGCAGCAACCUAGAUAAUGAAUGACAAUUUUUUUAAUGAGUAUCCAGGGUGAGACAAUUUCAAUGUUUUGUCAACUAAAGUUUGAAUGUACUUUUAUCUGAUUUUGAGUACGAUGCCCUUAAUUCAAGGAAACAAACAGAGGAUUGAAGUUUCUCUAGGCCUAUAGACAACCAGCAUGAUACAAAACUUCAAAGCAAAAUAAGGAGCUUUUAAGCACUCAGUCUCAAAGUUAUAAUGCUUAAAUCAGCCCCUGUUUUUCAACCAUUAUUGGGAGAAUAAAAGAGUUUUGAAUAGUAUUCUUUGGAAAAUGUGCGGUUAAAAGUAAAGAAACUUUAUUGAUUUUUGUGUAAAAUAUUUUAUUGUGUAAAUGUGUGGUGAAGAAUGAUAUUGUAGCAAACAAUUUAAAAUUUUAAAGGGUGCAAAACAGGCACUCAAUGAUGCAAAGCAUUCCGAGUCCUUUUAAUGAGUUCAACAUUCUACUAUGACCAUUAAAGUCGCAUUGAAAUGUCUACUCAGCUUGCUGCAAAUCAAUGAAUUGCCCACUAUACACUUAUUCUGGGGAUGUGCCUUUUUUGGGUGAAACAUGCUACCAAAUAAAGAUCAUGAUAUUCAACCCAUGUUAACAAAACUUCAUCCAACAAUAGUUGCUUAUGGAUUGAUGCAUUUGAUCUUGGAUUUCCUGGAGGAAAGGGAGAAGAAAAAGAACGAAACUGCAAUUCUAUUAAAUAUGUAGAAUUUCCCGUAAAAUAAAUGAAACAGAGGUACAUAUAGCAAAAUUAUUCCCGUGUGUUGAAAUAGUUGUAGCGAAACUAAAAAAUUCUAAAAGAUUCAUCAACUUAUUCCAAUUAAUUUGAUAACUCGAUAUUAAUCCUAAACAAAGAUUUUCCCAUACGCCAACAAAAUUUAAGCAGCACCGAAUAAAAAUUCUGAAUUAAUGAAUCGAAUCAAAGAAUAAGAACGCGCUUUAACAUGAAUAUGAAUUACACAGUUGUAUUUGAAUCAAAGAUGAAUAUCCAUUACUAACCGACAUCGUUAUACGAACAGCAAAUCAAUCAGAGGCUAUUAGAUUGGAUUAGCAAACACGGAGGAAACUGAUAGACAAAGAAAUAUAUAUUUUUAUGUAAUUAUUAUUAGCGUCGUGGUUUC